ACCGCGAGCGAAAAGGGCGAGG
Molecule: microRNA, 22 nt
Filed under: Macaca mulatta (Rhesus monkey)
Lineage: Eukaryota; Metazoa; Chordata; Mammalia; Primates; Cercopithecidae
Description: Mml-Novel-11_3p (mature (co-guide))
Source: RNAcentral